UACGUAUGGUGCAAGCGUUAAUCGGAAUUACUGGGCGUAAAGCGUGCGCAGGCGGUGAUGUAAGACAGGUGUGAAAUCCCCGGGCUUAACCUGGGAACUGCAUUUGUGACUGCAUCGCUGGAGUGCGGCAGAGGGGGAUGGAAUUCCGCGUGUAGCAGUGAAAUGCGUAGAUAUGCGGAGGAACACCGAUGGCGAAGGCAAUCCCCUGGGCCUGCACUGACGCUCAUGCACGAAAGCGUGGGGAGCAAACAGG
Molecule: ribosomal RNA, 253 nt
Filed under: uncultured bacterium
Lineage: Bacteria
Description: partial 16S ribosomal RNA
Rfam family: Bacterial small subunit ribosomal RNA
Source: RNAcentral